This is a long non-coding RNA of Malaclemys terrapin pileata, 1236 nucleotides long. RefSeq lists it as uncharacterized. The transcript has 3 exons. Lineage: Eukaryota; Metazoa; Chordata; Testudines; Emydidae. The record is from RefSeq and is a predicted model, not a curated record.
GGGAUUCCCUGGAGAAGCUGGAGUGAGGGGCUCCCCAGGCAGAAUGCCAUCUACAAGGAACUGUAAGAGAGAAUCAUUAGUGGCUGUCCAAAGAGAAACCAGGCGUGGAGAGCACAGGUGACCAUGCAGAGCUCAUCAGCACAGGUAACCAUGCAGUCUGAGAAUUGAAAAAGAGCACCAGCAUGGACCGUACGGGAGGUACUGGAUCUGAUCGCUGUAUGGGGAGACGAUUCCAUGCUAGCAGAACUACGUUCCAAAAGACGAAAUGCCAAAAUAUUUUAAAAAAUCUCCAAGGGCAUGAUGGAGAGAGGCUACAAUAGGGACUCACUACAGUGCCAAGUGAAAGUUAAGGAGCUCAGACAAGCGUACCAGAAAACCAAAGAAGCAAACGGACAGUCCAGGGCAGAGCCGCAGACAUGCUGCUUCUACAAUGAGCUGCAUGCAAUUCUAGAGGGGGCUGCCACCACUACCCCACCCCUGACUGUCGAUUCUGAUGAGGGGGUACUCUUAGCCAUGCCUGAGGAUUUUGCGGAUGGGGAAGAUGAGGAGGAGGAGGAUGAGCUUGCAGAGAGCACACAGCACACCGUUCUCCCCAUCAGCCAGGAUCUUUUUUUCAGCCUGACUGAAAUAGCGUCCCAAGCCUCCCAAGGCGGUCUCCUGGACCAUGAAGCCAGAGAAGGGACCUCUGCUGCAAAUUUUUCAAGCCUCCCUCCUCCAUCCGGAAGGCUAUCUCAGAUAAGGCGGUGAAAAAAACGCACGUGCGAUGAAAUGUUCUCUGAGAUCAUGCAGUCAACCCGCAAUGAAAGAGCUCAUCUGAAUGAGUGGAAGGACACAGUAUCACAGUACAGGAAAGCAGCCAAUGAACGUGAGGACAGGAGGGACGAAUGUGAGGACAGGAGGGAUGCUUGAGAUGAGAGGUGGCGUCAGGAAGAUCAGAGGACGCAGGAUGCAACGCUGGGGCUACUGCGGGAUCAAACGGACAUGCUCCGGCGUUUGGUGGAGCUUCAGGAACGGCAGCAGGAUCACAGAGUGCCACUGCAGCCCCUGUUUAACCACCCUCCCCCCUCCCCAAGUUCCAUAGCCUCCUCACCCAGACGCCCAAAAACGCGGAGGGGGGGGAGAAGGCUCCGUGCACCCUGCCACUCCACCCCGGUGGACAGCCCAAGCAACAGAAGGCUGUCAUUCAACAAGUUUUGAAGUGGCCUUUUUCUUUCCUCCUCUCCUCCUCCCACACCC